This 67-nucleotide transfer RNA is filed under the name Marmota monax (woodchuck). RNAcentral describes it as "tRNA.Ala". It matches the Rfam family "tRNA", at positions 6 to 65 of the family's 71-position model. Rfam says of the family: Transfer RNA (tRNA) molecules are approximately 80 nucleotides in length. Their secondary structure includes four short double-helical elements and three loops (D, anti-codon, and T loops). Lineage: Eukaryota; Metazoa; Chordata; Mammalia; Rodentia; Sciuridae. The record is from RNAcentral.
GGCUGUAGCUCAGGGGCAGAGCGCUUGCCUAGCAUGCGUGAGGCACUGGGUUCAAUCCUCAGCACCA